This is a non-coding RNA of Cinara cedri, 262 nucleotides long. The record is from the annotation of a GenBank genome assembly. NCBI's taxonomy places the organism in Eukaryota, Metazoa, Arthropoda, Insecta, Hemiptera, Aphididae.
AGUUUAGAAAAUCCAUACUUUUGUAUUAAUUAUUUUUUGUUUAUCUAGAUAAUUAUUUAGUUAUCUAAGCCAAUCAGUAACAUUUUAAACGUAACAAUCUGACAUGUUAUUUAAAUAGUAAUUUAUAAAUUUAUUGCUCUAUCUAGUGGAUAAGAUUUUCGGUAACAUACAUGAUUCCUAAACUGCGAGAAAAUGAUGGUCUUUGGAUUUUCCUAAAAUUAUUUAAAUUUAUAAAAGGUAAUAAAUAAACGAAUUCGGUAUA